GCCCGGUUAGCUCAGUUGGUCAGAGCAUCAGACCAAUAAUCUGAGGGUCACCAGUUCAAGCCUGGUACUGGGUA
Pavlovales sp. CCMP2436 is the source of this 74-nucleotide non-coding RNA. The record is from the annotation of a GenBank genome assembly. Lineage: Eukaryota; Haptophyta; Pavlovophyceae; Pavlovales.